Long non-coding RNA from Eriocheir sinensis (Chinese mitten crab), 3345 nucleotides. RefSeq lists it as uncharacterized. NCBI's taxonomy places the organism in Eukaryota, Metazoa, Arthropoda, Malacostraca, Decapoda, Varunidae. The transcript is spliced from 3 exons. The record is from RefSeq and is a predicted model, not a curated record.
CCCGUAUCCUCGAGAGCUAUUAACUUUUACUCUUAAAGUUACUAUCAAAGUUAAUAGUUUCAAAUUAUUAAGAGUAAAAGCUAUCCUCGUCAACUUUGAGUGUAGGUAUUAGCAAAUCCUGGCUACUAUUAUCUUCUUCUUCUUCUUCUUUAUGGCGGGCUCGUUGCUAAGGACGCCUCCGUGCAAAACGUAAACAUCCGACAUGAAUUAAGUAUAUAUUUCAAAAGACUAAUAAAGAAAAGAUGUAUAAAUGUACAACAGAAACAUAAUAAAUGGCAAACACAAGAAAAUGCUGAGUUUUGUGGCAGAUAGAAGCAGCCUCAAAGGCUGUUUUUACUCCGUCACUCGUCAAUACCCUCAUCUCCCCUCCUGCGUCACGACUUGCUCUGCUGAAAUUACCGCACCAUAACCACGUCAUCUGCCCCAAUGAGCACAUCUACGGGCCGGAGAACCAGCGCAGAAAAGGAGUAAGUUUAAUUGGUCGCCAGAUGAAACGGUCUUCUUACAUCAAAUUCAUGAAAAAAGACGUAUAAUCAGAGGGUGUUAUGGGAAGAGUAUCACCCCUGAGGAUAAGAAGAGAGCGUGGACUGAAGUGGCAGAAGCUGUAACAAGUGCCUUCCCUGGGAGUGGACCCCGUACGCAGGAUGACUGUGAGAGGCGUUGGUACAACGUACAACAAAAAUCAAAGCCUCUCAUUGCCAAGUGCAAGAAUGAGCAGCGGUAGACUGCCACUGCUCAUCAUCUGCUGGCCCAAUGACACCUGCCACUGCUUCAUCAUCUGCUGGCCCUAUGACACCAGCCACUGCUUCAUCAUCUGCUGGCCCAAUGACACCUGCCACUGCUUCAUCAUCUGCUGGCCCAAUGACACCUGCCACUGCUUCAUCAUCUGCUGGCCCUAUGACACCAGCCACUGCUUCAUCAUCUGCUGGCCCAAUGACAUCAGCCACUGCUUCAUCAUCUGCUGGCCCAAUGACACCUGCCACUGCUUCAUCAUCUGCUGGCCCAAUGACACCUGCCACUGCAAGGGAUGACAAUGAAGCUGCUCCACUACAGUCACCACCUACUUCAUCGGAGUUAAGAGAUGCCUUUCAUAGGGCAGCAGUAUAAUGUUUUGAUGCUGGGGCUGAAUAUUACUGCCUCAAGGCUAUGAUUUUCACUUUUUUUUUUUAUUACUGAGGAGGUUAGGGUGGAAGGGGUGAAAAAUAAUCUGUGCUGUUUUUCGACAGAAAUGGUUAGCAAAUUCAUUCAAAGCACAAAAUUUACCAGAAAAAAAAUUGUGUGCCAUUGUGAGUGGGUUCACUUGAGAUUGGGCUCCAAUACACCUCCGUGGUCUAGUGGUCAGCAUGCCUGGCUUCUACGCGGGCCCAGGUUCGAAUCCCGGCCCGGGCAGUCGGCGUGCAGCUCACCCAGCUGAUCAUCCUCCCUCUCGGGCUGGUCGAUAAAUGACUACCUGGGGAAACUGUGGUAACCCGGAUGUCAAACUGGCCCUGUGUCCCGGGGUAAUGGGCUCCCUCCCACCACAGGCUCAAGGGCCAAUGUCACGGAGAUGAGCAUUAGCUUAUAACACCUUUAGGCACCGAUCAUAUUUGCAUUUUAUGUAGUCUGUGAUGCAGGCAGGAUAUUCAUUAGCACCUAAUUAGACUCAUGCUGCUCUCCAGUGCUCUCUGAUGAACUCACAAUCAAAGAUGUAGUAUACCUAUAUGGUAGCAUUGAGUAAUCUUAGGUCACUUGGUAAAGUGUUCACCAAAGUCCGACCCAAGCUGACAACAUAAACCUAAGCGUGUUUGCAAGCUGAGUGUUUAGAAUAUUGGCAUAAUAAUAAAAGAUGCUGAAAACUGGAUUCCACUACUUUAUUGAAUAUAUGAAUAUUUAUAUACUGAAUUUGUAAUGGAGCCAAGAUAAAAAAAGCUAUGUUUUCAGCGGUCAUACCAUGAUCUCAUGAAAAUAAUUAGGUUGACAUAUAUAAAUAGUACUACGUAUUUUGGUAUGAUGACCAUUGCACGUUAAUACCAUAGCUUUGCGAGCAUUGAGUAAUCUUAGGUCACUUGGUAAAGUGUUCACAUAAGUCCGACCCAAACUGACAACAUAAACCUAAGCAUGUUUGCAAGCUGAGUGCUUAGAAUAUUGGCAUAAUAAUAAAAGAUGCUGAAAACUAGAUUCCACUAAUAGAGUAAUUAUAUACUGAAUUUGUAAUGGAGCCAAGAUAAAAAGCUAUGUUUUUCAGUGGUCAUACCAUGAUCUCAUGAAAAUAAAUAGGUUGACAUAUAUAAUUAAUUACUACGUAUUUUGUUAUGAUGACUAUUGCACAUUAAUACCAUAGCUUUGAAUCCAAUGAUGAAUAUCUUCAAGCAAGACACAAAUAGCAACAGAUUGGUCACCAAUUCACUCAGUAAACACAAUACUCCAGAAAAGUAAACACUGAAUUCACAAUAAAGUUGUUUUUCCACUUGGAACUUUGUAAACAGAAACCAAGUAACCUCGUUUUACUUCACUCAUAAGUCAUGAUGUUCGCGAUGUGGUCACCUCGACCUUUCGUUCCUCCUCCCUCACACUGGCAGAGGUCUCUAACAAGCUUUCUUACCACCAUUAUCUCAAUAUGAAUAACCAGCAGCAAUAAUUAUAAAUCAUGACCCGUAUCCUCGACAACUAUUAAUACUAAACUUGGUAUUAACUUUCGACUUUGGUAUUAACUUCACUCUCAAAGUGUAUCCUCAACAACUAUUAGCCUAAUACCUACUCUUAACUUUGGUAUUAACUUGAGAGUGCUGGCGAGGACUUAUAAACACUUAAUAGUAAAGUUAAUAGUGAAACCCUGACCCAGACCCAUAUCAACAUGGCCCCCGGAUUUCCUCGUCCAGCCCGCCUCCGCAAUUUAGAGUUUGAUAGGGCGCUUUGGAACUGUAUAACGAUGGUGAACUUCUCAAGACAUACAUAUUAGACCGUGCAGGAAUGGAGUAUGUGACUGAUUUGGUGAGAAGAGAGCUACAAGAUCCAGUUCAAAGGGAGCAUUCCCGCACCCCGGGGUUGAGUGAUUUUGACUUAAAGGUACUUGGCUACAGGAAAAAUGCUGCAGUGUUCAAGUGAUGAGUUAGGGGGUAAGCCAGAGUAGUGUAAGCAGGGUGAUUGUGGAAACUCUGGCCGCCCUCAGUGACCCGUAGGUAGUCGGGAGGUUUAUCCAGUCUCCCCUUGAUAGGGUGGAGAUCCGUGUAAAGCAAGCAGAAUUCUACCAACUUGCCGGUGUUGUGGGAGUGAUAGACUGCACCCAUGUGAAAAUAAUGUCACCAAAGGAAAACGAUGUAGUUUAUGUCAACAGAAAAAAAAAAUAAACAUAGCUUGAACAUACAA